GCAAGUCGAGCGGAAACGAGAAGGUGCUUGCACCUUCGGCGUCGAGCGGCGGACGGGUGAGUAAUGCCUAGGAAGUUGCCCAGUAGAGGGGGAUAACCAUUGGAAACGAUGGCUAAUACCGCAUAUUCUCUUUGGAGCAAAGCAGGGGACCUUCGGGCCUUGCGCUAUUGGAUACGCCUAGGUGGGAUUAGCUAGUUGGUGAGGUAAUGGCUCACCAAGGCAACGAUCCCUAGCUGGUCUGAGAGGAUGAUC
RNAcentral lists this ribosomal RNA (252 nucleotides) under uncultured bacterium. RNAcentral's name for it is "partial 16S ribosomal RNA". It matches the Rfam family "Bacterial small subunit ribosomal RNA", at positions 57 to 305 of the family's 1533-position model. The record is from RNAcentral.